This 377-nucleotide ribosomal RNA is filed under the name uncultured eukaryote. Its description in RNAcentral is "partial 18S ribosomal RNA". It matches the Rfam family "Eukaryotic small subunit ribosomal RNA", at positions 592 to 976 of the family's 1831-position model. The record is from RNAcentral.
CAAUAGCGUAUAUUUAAGUUGCUGCAGUUAAAAAGCUCGUAGUUGGAUUUCGGGUGGGAAUGGCCGGUCCGCCGUUUCGGUGUGCACUUGCUACGCCCACCUUGCUGCCGGGGACGUGCUCUUGAGUUCACGCUCGGGACACGGAGUCGGCGAGGUUACUUUGAGUAAAUUAGAGUGUUCAAAGCAGGCCUACGCUCUGAAUACAUUAGCAUGGAAUAACACGAUUGGACUCUGGCCUAUCUUGUUGGUCUGUAGGACCGGAGUAAUGAUUAAGAGGGACAGUCGGGGGCAUUCGUAUUUCAUUGUCAGAGGUGAAAUUCUUGGAUUUAUGAAAGACGAACUACUGCGAAAGCAUUUGCCAAGGAUGUUUUCAUUAA